Oncorhynchus tshawytscha (Chinook salmon) is the source of this 497-nucleotide long non-coding RNA. The record is from Ensembl. NCBI's taxonomy places the organism in Eukaryota, Metazoa, Chordata, Actinopteri, Salmoniformes, Salmonidae.
AGAUCACUUUGCGUUUGUAGGGUCCAUUCUGUUUGUCCUUAGCCGUGCACUCUAGCUAGCUAGGAAGUUUGAUGUCAUCAAAUUUCACAUGAUGUAUAGCGACGUCCAAACAUCAAAACAUUGCUAGCAAAUUGUAAAAAAAAAAUGGAUAGUAACAAUAUAAUUCCAUUAAAUAACGACAGUAGACGCUGUAUUUUCUUUAAUACAGAUUCUGACGACUAUCGAUGUGUGGUGAUUCUCACAGUGAAGCGAGCCACAGGCACCUUCUCACUGAUAGGAUGCUUUUUCAUGCUGUUUGUAAUCUGGCUUCUCCGCCGGUAUCACUCCUUGGCCCAGAAGAUGAUUUGCAGUCUGACAGUUGCGGCCUUCUUUGACAGUGUAGCGUAUGUCAUCGGUGAUACCCAUCCAGAGGGGAGUCUGUGUAACUUCCAGGCCUGGUGGCUCACUUAUUUUGACUGGAGUGCCUUGGCCUGGGUGUCCUGAAUUAUUCUGAACCG